This is a long non-coding RNA of Cotesia glomerata, 196 nucleotides long. RefSeq lists it as uncharacterized. Lineage: Eukaryota; Metazoa; Arthropoda; Insecta; Hymenoptera; Braconidae. The transcript is spliced from 2 exons. The record is from RefSeq and is a predicted model, not a curated record.
AAAUAAUAAUAUCGAAUGAUAAAUAAAAAUAUGUUUUUUUAAUUAAAGGAAAUAUUUAUAAUAAAUAUUUGUUAAUGUAAAGUGUUCUUGUGCAUUAAAAAGUGAAAUAUUUGGAUUUAAAAUGGAAACCAUAAUAAAAACGGGAUUUCAAUCAAUAACCCACGAAAUUCAGUUCCAGCCACAGACAUUGGUAAAA